Molecule: long non-coding RNA, 730 nt
Filed under: Sus scrofa (pig)
Lineage: Eukaryota; Metazoa; Chordata; Mammalia; Artiodactyla; Suidae
Description: lncRNA (ENSSSCG00035073779.1)
Source: RNAcentral
UUUCACUGUUCAAUCUCCCCCUCCUCCACCAAGAUCCCAAACAGGUGAUCAAAAUAUUUACCCAAAACCCAGGUCUCUUCCUAGAGGGGAUUUCUCUACUUCCCUGCGCCGCCAGCUCAGGCCCACUCUGAACCCAGCCUGCACUGGAGCCCUCCGGGACGUGCACAGAAUGAUCUUAUGCUCUGUGCCUUCCUACAACCAUCCCAAACUGAAUGAGAAGCAGGUCUCAAUGGACCUUCAGUGGUCAAGUUCCUGGAGGAGCUGCUCUGUCAGGUACUUUUCUUCCCACAUCACCUCCAAUGGUGGCUUCUCCUGUGGCCUCAAAGAUUCUCCUUCUCGCUGUUCUGGGACAAAACAUACAAUGAAAGGAUCACCAAGAGAAAAGGUGCUAGUCAGUUUCCAGCAUGUCCUUAUUCUUGCCUUUCAGGUUGAUGUCAACUAAACUCAGACAUUGAAAAGUCCAGCGAGUGUCCACUUUGGUGAGAAGGGUGGUAGAGAAGUUCCUUCUGUGGUGAAGUGGUUUAAGAAUCUCACUGCAGUAGCUUGGGUCACUGCAGAGGUACAAGUUUGAUCCCCAGUCUGGCACAGUGGGUUACAGGAUCCAGUGUUGCCACAGCUGCAGUGUAGGUCACAGCUGAGGCUUGGAUUUAAUCCCUGGCCCAGGAACUUCCAUAUGCUGUGGGUGGAGCCAUAAAAUAAAAUUAAAAAAAAUUAAAGUGAGUGGUGGAAA